AUAGCGUAUAUUAAAGUUGUUGCAGUUAAAAAGCUCGUAGUUGGAUUUGUGGCAGUCGCAUGCGGCCCGGCAUUCGUGUCGGUGUUUGCUCGCGUCGCCAUCCUUGGGUGGAACCUGUGUGGCAUUAGGUUGUCGUGCAGGGGAUGCCCAUCAUUUACUGUGAAAAAAUUAGAGUGUUCAAAGCAGGCUUAUGCCGUUGAAUAUAUUAGCAUGGAAUAAUAAGAUAGGACCUUGGUACUAUUUUGUUGGUUUGCGCACCAAGGUAAUGAUUAAUAGGGACAGUUGGGGGUAUUCGUAUUCCAUUGUCAGAGGUGAAAUUCUUGGAUUUCUGGAAGACGAACUACUGCGAAAGCAUUUACCAAGGAUGUUUUC
Molecule: ribosomal RNA, 372 nt
Filed under: Nitzschia acicularis
Lineage: Eukaryota; Bacillariophyta; Bacillariophyceae; Bacillariales; Bacillariaceae
Description: SSU rRNA
Rfam family: Eukaryotic small subunit ribosomal RNA
Source: RNAcentral